RNAcentral lists this unclassified non-coding RNA (364 nucleotides) under fungal sp. Its description in RNAcentral is "partial internal transcribed spacer region". The stretch from base 1 to 46 matches the Rfam family "Eukaryotic small subunit ribosomal RNA", at positions 1786 to 1831 of the family's 1831-position model. The record is from RNAcentral. Lineage: Eukaryota; Fungi.
AAGUCGUAACAAGGUUUCCGUAGGUGAACCUGCGGAAGGAUCAUUAACACGUUCUAAACGUAUCAACCAACUGUGCCAUUGUUCACAUCCUCCCUGUCUUUUCCUUUUUUAUCGAAGGGGAGAUGGGCUAAAUGAAGGGUGGUGUUAAUUCGACACGUACUGUUUGUUUUGUCUUCUUCGGAAAACAGAACUUCUGUGCUGUGCUCGUGUUCACUAUUCUUCGCCAUUUUUUCACGAUUAUCACCCCCAUGAUAUUACUACUUAGUUGACUUAUUUUCGGAGGCUCGUGUCUUAAUUGCCACUGUCUCUCUCAUUUACUGAGUAAAUGAAAAUACAACUCUUAGCAAUGGAUAUCUUGGUUCUC